UCCUACGGGGCGCAGCAGUGGGGGAUAUUGCACAAUGGGGGAAACCCUGAUGCAGCGACGCCGCGUGAGGGAAGACGGUUUUCGGAUUGUAAACCUCUGUCUUUGGGGACGAAUUGAGACGGUACCCAAGGCGGAAGCUCCGGCUAACUACGUGCCAGCAGCCGCGGUAAUACGUAGGGAGCAAGCGUUGUCCGGAAUUACUGGGUGUAAAGGGAGCGUAGGCGGGACUGCAAGUUGGGUGUCAAAUCUACCGGUUCAACCGGUAGCCGCACUCAAAACUGCAGUUCUUGAGUGAAGUAGAGGCA
Molecule: ribosomal RNA, 305 nt
Filed under: uncultured bacterium
Lineage: Bacteria
Description: bacterial SSU rRNA
Rfam family: Bacterial small subunit ribosomal RNA
Source: RNAcentral